This 91-nucleotide transfer RNA is filed under the name Bacillota bacterium. RNAcentral's name for it is "tRNA-Ser". It matches the Rfam family "tRNA". From Rfam's summary of the family: Transfer RNA (tRNA) molecules are approximately 80 nucleotides in length. Their secondary structure includes four short double-helical elements and three loops (D, anti-codon, and T loops). The record is from RNAcentral. Lineage: Bacteria; Bacillati; Bacillota.
GGAGUGAUGGCCGAGUUGGUCGAAGGCGCUCGCCUGCUAAGCGAGUAUACCCUCAUAAGGGGUAUCGAGGGUUCGAAUCCCUCUCACUCCG